RNAcentral lists this ribosomal RNA (467 nucleotides) under uncultured bacterium. RNAcentral describes it as "partial 16S ribosomal RNA". It matches the Rfam family "Bacterial small subunit ribosomal RNA", at positions 28 to 507 of the family's 1533-position model. The record is from RNAcentral.
GACGAACGCUGGCGGCGUGCUUAACACAUGCAAGUCGAACGAUGAAGCCCAGCUCGCUGGGUGGAAGAGUGGCGAACGGGUGAGUAACACGUGAGUAACCUGCCCUGAACUCUGGGAUAAGCACUGGCAACGGUGUCUAAUACCUGAUACGACCUAUCACCGCACGGUGUGUGGGUGGAAAUAUUUAUCGGUUCUGGAUGGACUCGCGGCGUAUCAGCUAGAUGGUGAGGGAAUGGCUCACCAUGGCGUCGGCGGGUAGCCGGCCUGAGAGGGUGAGCGGCCACACUGGGACUGAGACAGGGCCCAGACGCCUACGGGAGGCAGCAGUGGGGAAUAUUGCGCAAUGGGCGCGAGCCUGAUGCGGCGGCGCCGCGUGAGGGAUGACGGCCUUCGGGUUGUAAACCUCUUUUAGUAGGGAAGAAGCUAAAGUGACGGUACCUGCAGAAAAAGCACCGGCUAACUACGUG